Molecule: small RNA, 235 nt
Filed under: Sorex araneus (European shrew)
Lineage: Eukaryota; Metazoa; Chordata; Mammalia; Eulipotyphla; Soricidae
Description: 7SK RNA (ENSSARG00000019816.1)
Rfam family: 7SK RNA (bases 1-166)
About the family: 7SK was discovered as an abundant small nuclear RNA in the mid-70s but a possible function has only recently been suggested. Two independent studies have found that 7SK RNA binds the CDK9/cyclin T complex (known as elongation factor P-TEFb). P-TEFb activates transcription by phosphorylating the C-terminal domain of RNA polymerase II.
Source: RNAcentral
GGAUGUGAAGAUGAUCUGGCAGCAUCAUCUCCCCACUGAUUGCCAAGGUGGAUUUUGCUGAUCUGGCUAACUAGGCAGGUGUCCCCUUCCACCAUCUCCAUAUUCUCCCUCUGGAGGCUGAGGGUUAAAAGAGGAACCAGUAGACACAGAACUUUUUUCAGUCAUGCUAUGUACAGACUCAAAAAGAAGCUCCCCGAACCACUGCAUAUCCGAAAGCCCUGGUAAAGCCGCUUUC